GUGGCUUUGGGGGUCGGCAGGUCUGGGGCAGCGCCAGCACCUGCCCUUGUGGGGAACUCCGGUUUCCUGUUUUACCAUUUGUCUAAUGGGGGUUCAAAGGCCCCAGAAAAGGCCUGAAAUAGAAUUGAGCCUUCUCUCCUUCCGUCCUUCCUUCUUAGACCCUAGACGGGGACCUUGGGAAGAAGAAAAGCAAUAGUUUAUUCCUGAUUCCUGAGAUCUUUGAAGACAAGGGUGGGUUCUCAACCUCCUUCUCCAGGAGAAGCAGUCCCAAGUCCCUAUAAGACAGGCCCUUGGACCUCCUGCAGCAUGUUAUCUAGAUUCUCCAGCAUGCCAUCUGCCCACAUAUCACCCAUAGACUUCUCCCUAAGCAAACCUGUGUUUAACUUGGGAACCCAGCAUUACAGACCUCCACAGGCAGUUAGCACCCCAUUCUCAUACCCAUGAUGGCCACAGCAUUGCGACCAUGUCCCUCCAAAGGCCUAGAAGCAAAUAUGGCUUCUGUCAAAGGCUCGUCACCCUUUGCCUGCCACUGGGCCCCUCCCUGGGCUGGGUCUGCCUGCCAGGUUGGAUGGGGUCACAAUGCUGGCUGGGCCCGUAAGAUUCUCAAAGCUCCUUUGAAUCCAUACAUGACACUUCUCCUCCCUGUAGGCCCGAAGCCCACAGGGUGUCUGUCUGCCAGCAACUGUGACAUUAGCCACUGGAGAGCAAGGGUGUUCUUACCACUCUGCCCAUGGCUAAAAAGUUGCUACUCAUGCUAUCGUGAGAGGCCAAUGAACCUGUGAUCUGCUACAGGACAGUGGGGCUGACAGCACACAGAUGCACAGAGCUGUACAAAUGCAAAUCAGACAAAACCGCAGCACUGAGACCAGGAGUGGACUUGAAGUUCCACCCCCAAUCAAGAACCUCGAUGCAAUUGAUACCUGCUGGGAGGGAAAGUCAGUUUUCUCCAAUAAAAGCCCCCUGGAGGCAGCUCACCUUCACGUCUCGGCUCUGCUGUGUAACCUGAAGCUGAUGUUCUGGGAUUCUUGCUAUCCUGAACGCAAAGUCCGCAGAUCCAGAAGGGGAAGUUUGUCUCCUGAGGUUGGUGAUCGCCACACCCCCCUGAGCCCAUCCGAGAUCCUUCCAUGUAAUUCAGGUGUCUAUCAACCGUUUGGAAUGACAUAAACUCGUCUAGGCUCUCUGCA
Non-coding RNA from Rattus norvegicus (Norway rat), 1184 nucleotides. NCBI's taxonomy places the organism in Eukaryota, Metazoa, Chordata, Mammalia, Rodentia, Muridae. The record is from RefSeq and is a predicted model, not a curated record.